Molecule: ribosomal RNA, 253 nt
Filed under: uncultured bacterium
Lineage: Bacteria
Description: partial 16S ribosomal RNA
Rfam family: Bacterial small subunit ribosomal RNA
Source: RNAcentral
UACGAAGGGUGCAAGCGUUACUCGGAAUUACUGGGCGUAAAGCGUGCGUAGGUGGUUUCUCAAGUCUGCUGUGAAAGCCCCGGGCUCAACCUGGGAAUUGCAGUGGAUACUGGGGAGCUAGAGUGCGGUAGAGGGUAGUGGAAUUCCCGGUGUAGCGGUGAAAUGCGUAGAGAUCGGGAGGAACACCAGUGGCGAAGGCGGCUACCUGGACCAGCACUGACACUGAGGCACGAAAGCGUGGGGAGCAAACAGG